UGAAACAGACUGAAGAGUGAUGCAAUUACCUCAGACAGCAACUGAGGAAUUUGGCUGUUUAGCCACACAUGUAUCCUUUGUUUGAUAAUAAUGUACCAUACAUACAGAAAAUUUGUGAAUGCCAUUCGCCUCACUGUGAUGUUCACAGCAAAAUCUGCCCGCAAGUUGUUCCUGAAUCAUGGAAUCUGAUGAUAUACAACAUGGAAGAUCUAAUACAUCAUAGACGUGAUUGAGCAGGUGACUUAUUACAAAACGCAACAUUGUGAAACACGUCCUGCUGACAGGACUUUUCUAAGUAUCCCUGGAAGACUGCUACAGGGCAUCCUCUAUCUGCAGGUAUUCGUUUUAAAGCCCUAGAAGACAACCCAUUGUUUUGUGGGGACUGCAAGUCAAUUUUCUCUGCCAAAAGGGAUGUGACUCCUUAAAUUUCUGAAAGCAAAAGCAGCUUAUGCCAAAUAUUGGAAAUUCAGACUGAAGGCACGUACGGUCAACUUGCUGCAUUGGAGGUUCAGAGUGUUACCAUUCUGAAGGGAGUCUAGUGCCACUGCUGUUCAGCAUUCUGUCCUCCAAAGGAUUAUCUGGAGUUUUUGGGAUGGGAUGACACUGGCUUCAUGGAGCACAAUGCUGCAAUAGUCUCUCUGGAUGGCAGUAUUUGUUCUAUCAUCUCCGUCAGUGAUUGGAGCUCUUGUUUCCUGCCAGCUCAGCCUGACUACUGCUGCUCAGGUCAAGGUGUUGCAACCUGAAGCUUGGUGAUUGAGAACAGUGUUACUUCAGGUUCUGCUCAAGGCCCUCCUGCAGUAUCCUCCACAGAAAAUCAGCAGCCACCUGCCACCCAAGCAUCAGGAGCCCUAAGACAAGCAAAGACACUUGGAAGCUAGACAAUGAAGGAAUGCAUUCAAGUUUAAGUUUGAAGGCAGUGUGGCAUGAUCUCAGACAUAAAUUUUGGUUUGGAAUGUUAUUCUGACCCCUUGUGCCCUGGCUGCCUAUCAAACUGGCAACCUACCCUCACAAAACACUACCCUUAGACAUAUUUUAUGUACUUACCCUUUGACAGCAGCUGUUAAACUAGUUUCAUGUGAUGCUGGACAUUUAAAUUUCAGAAUCCAUCUACUGACCGCUGUGAUAAAGGAUGGUGGUUUGCCUUCCUCUUAUUAGUCAAUAUCAUAAGGGACCAGUCAGAAAAAAGUAUUGUUUUGCACUUCGAAAGGAACAUUGAUUGGAAUUUCUUGUCAGAAAUGCAGCACACUUUUGCUAUGUAAAAACAGAAGUGAAGCGACUGUCUGGGUGAGAUUGCCACUCUGUGGAACUUUCACUGCAUUUUCUAGGGGGCCAAUUAGUUGAUGUGUGUGACUCAUUGAUAGUGCAGUCAGCAUUGGCUGCAUUGCCACAUAAAUAAGCAGACAACCAGAAGAUGCCACACUAUCUGCAUUACAUCGAACAGCAUGGGCCAGUUGCACAUUGUUAUGCUUAAGUCUGUUUUUUGGGAAAUUAUCCGGUUUAGCCCCUGCAAUAUCUUGCAACUUAUUUCACAAAGGAUUAAUGUAAUUGUGUGUCAAAGCUUUGUUCAGAACUGAUGUGUUUUCCAGAUUAAUCUGUCAGGUGCUGUAAACUAUUAUUGUUCGGAUUUUCCUACAUUUUCACCUGUCUUACUAAGUCAAGGAAUAACAAUGUUUUAUGAGCUUGGAGUUUGACUGAAGUUUACUUGGCAUUUCAUUAGAAAAUUUCAGUUGAUCUCAGUGGAAUUUCAUGAAAUGUAAUUCUGAUGAGCAAUCUUAUACCUUGGAUUCUUACAAAUUUGAUCAGCUAAAAUAAAGAGGCAAAACAUUUGCAUGAAUCUGCCUGCUAACAAUGUGGAUGGACUUUGCCCUUUCUGCCUGAGGGGUGAAACAUCAGACUGUGUUCACCAUAUAUGACUAUCAGGAACAGAGUUGUAUUGAAUAAGUUUUGGUUGCUCUAGAAUUGCGUCCAAGUUAAUCUAACAGCAAGAUGGAAUUCUGUUUGAUCGGUCAGUCUUUGUCAAGAUCAAAUGAAGAGUCAUUAGGACAUUGGAUGCAUUAUACCAACUGAAUACAUUGAGAAGAUGCACUGCAAAAAAUUGUCAAGUCUUCUUUGACAGCUCUUUUUCACAUUUAGCCUCAAGCAUGUAGAAGAAUAAGGGAAGUGAGCUCUCGGGAACACCGCCAUUUCCAAGUCACUCAACGUUUGUCUUGGAAGUACAUCACUGUCCUUUUCUGUCAUUAAGUUAGAAUCUUGGAAUUCCUCCUCUAAUAUUGAUGACUCAAGACAAUGUGAUCACCACCACCACCUUCUCAAAUGCAAUUAGGGAGGGUAGUCAGUACUGGACUAGGCCACAACACUGAAAUCCCAUGAGUGAAUUUGAAAAUGCAAAAUGCUGAAAUAGGUGCAACAUUAUGAUUGUAAUAUAAUUUGAUAAGUUGGAUAGCCAUUUGAAAGAUGGGGGGAAUAUAAAAGGAUAAAAGGGAAGAAAACUAGGUUCCUCCUAGAUUACUCCAGUUCCUUCAGUAUUACUUUC
Molecule: non-coding RNA, 2533 nt
Organism: Chiloscyllium plagiosum (whitespotted bambooshark)
Lineage: Eukaryota; Metazoa; Chordata; Chondrichthyes; Orectolobiformes; Hemiscylliidae
Source: RefSeq, a predicted model, not a curated record